RNAcentral lists this long non-coding RNA (1163 nucleotides) under Homo sapiens (human). RNAcentral's name for it is "HSALNT0012297". The record is from RNAcentral. Lineage: Eukaryota; Metazoa; Chordata; Mammalia; Primates; Hominidae.
CAAAGAGUUGGGGCGGUGGAGGCCUCCCAAAUGGGCUGGAGGACACACCGACCCCACCCCAUGCUGCCCACCCGCCUGUGGGAUCCACCAUGCCACAUGACAGCCAGCCUGACAGCACCAGUCGCUGGUGAGUCUGGUAGCCCUGGAAACCCUCUCACAGCCAGCCGAGAUGUGAGGGACACAGAGAGAGGAGGUGCCAUUUCAGACCCCUAUGCCUGGCACGUUGGGGUGAGAAGGACACACCAGUCAGAGCUGGUUCUGAGGCUCGCAUCCGGAGGGAGAUCCUGGAACCAGGGCUGAGGCUCGCAUCCUGAGGGACAUGCUGGAACCAGGGGGCAUCCGAGUUGGGGACACAGUCUGGGAAGGUGUCUAAAGGAAGUGAGAAUUGAAGGAGGGACAGAGCGCUACCCAGAAGGGCAUAACUAGAGGCUGGGACCAGGUCAGGAAACAUGUCCCUCAGGUGUAGAAGCUGCAAGUGAGAAACCAACGUGGUAGGAACCUCAGCAGGCUGGCUCCAGCUCCAGAAGCUGUUGGAGUUGAGGAUUUGUUCUCUGUAGAGGAGCAACAUCACCUGUGUAGUCUGGUUCCUAGGCUAGGCCAUCCUCUAGAAUUCUGUGUGAGCCAGAAUGUUCAACUAAUAAGAGAAGGCUGCACAUUGUGGGUGGAGAGCGGGAAAGAGAGGGGGCUUGCAGCAUCUGCAGGGGCCAGAAACUACAUGCACAGAGAAGCUUUCUCAAUCGGAAAAGAGCUUAGGAAACAUUGAACUGGAGAACAACGGAAGCAAACCUGUGUCCGGGAGUGGCUCCAGUGAAACCCACCUCUUUCUCUGUGUAUGGAAUUCCAAACACCCGUUGUACAGGAGGAAGCAGCUACAGAUCGUCCUACUCACCAGCUGGGUGGCACCACCGGCUUUAAGUAAUGGGUAAACUGGCUCAAGCAAGCCUGGGACUCAGAGACAGAUGUGCGAAGCAGAGAUGUUGCCAUGCCUAGGCUGAGGGCUUUCAGCCAAUCGAGAAGAGAACUGAGGCUUGGAGGAUUCAAACAACUUGCCAAAGGUCCCUGUUGGUAAAUGGUAUAUCCAAAAAAGAUCUGAGCUGAAGCCAAAUCCUGCAUUCCUUCUACACCUUGGCAAGGACUGGAUCAUCGCUUCUAGCAAACAGCUG